AGAGUUUGAUCCUGGCUCAGGACGAACGCUGGCGGCGUGCUUAACACAUGCAAGUGGAGCGACGAACCAGGGCUUGCCCUGGGGCAGAGCCGCGAACGGGUGAGUAACACGUGGGUUACCUGCCUCGAUGACUGGGACAACCCGAGGAAACUCGGGCUAAUACCGGAUGUCCCCGCAAGGGGAAAGGAAGCUUCGGCCUCCGCAUCGAGAUGGGCCCGCGGCCCAUUAGCUUGUUGGUGAGGUAAUGGCUCACCAAGGCUCCGAUGGGUAGCUGGUCUGAGAGGACGAUCAGCCACACUGGGACUGAGACACGGCCCAGACUCCUACGGGAGGCAGCAGUGGGGAAUCUUGCGCAAUGCGCGAAAGCGUGACGCAGCAACGCCGCGUGGGGGAAGAAGGCUUUCGGGUUGUAAACCCCUUUCAGUUGGGACGAAGCUUCGUCGGUGAAUAGCCGGUCGGAGUGACGGUACCUUCACAAGAAGCACCGGCUAACUACGUGCCAGCAGCCGCGGUAAUACGUAGGGUGCAAGCGUUGUCCGGAAUUAUUGGGCGUAAAGAGCGUGUAGGCGGCCCGAUUAGUCCGCUGUGAAAGUCCAGGGCUCAACCCUGGAAAGCCGGUGGAUACUGUCGGGCUAGAGUCCGGAAGGGGCGAGUGGAAUUCCUGGUGUAGCGGUGAAAUGCGCAGAUAUCAGGAGGAACACCAAUGGCGAAGGCAGCUCGCUGGGACGUGACUGACGCUGAGACGCGAAAGCGUGGGGAGCAAACAGGAUUAGAUACCCCCGUAGUCC
This 788-nucleotide ribosomal RNA is filed under the name uncultured bacterium. Its description in RNAcentral is "bacterial SSU rRNA". It matches the Rfam family "Bacterial small subunit ribosomal RNA", at positions 8 to 796 of the family's 1533-position model. The record is from RNAcentral.